GUGGGGAAUAUUGGACAAUGGGGGAAACCCUGAUCCAGCAAUGCCGCGUGAGUGAAGAAGGCCUUAGGGUUGUAAAGCUCUUUCGCCCGUGACGAUGAUGACGGUAACGGGAGAAGAAGCCCCGGCUAAUUCCGUGCCAGCAGCCGCGGUAAUACGGAAGGGGCUAGCGUUGUUCGGAUUUACUGGGCGUAAAGCGCAUGUAGGCGGCGGAUCAAGUGGGGCGUGAAAGGCCUGGGCUCAACCUGGGAACUGCGCUUCAGACUGGUUCGCUCGAGUUCGGGAGAGGGUGGUGGAAUUCCCAGUGUAGAGGUGAAAUUCGUAGAUAUUGGGAGGAACACCGGUGGCGAAGGCGGCCACCUGGCCCGAGACUGACGCUCAAGUGCGAAAGCGUGGGGAGCAAACAGGAUUAGAAACCCGUGUAGUCC
RNAcentral lists this ribosomal RNA (425 nucleotides) under uncultured bacterium. RNAcentral's name for it is "bacterial SSU rRNA". It matches the Rfam family "Bacterial small subunit ribosomal RNA", at positions 354 to 796 of the family's 1533-position model. The record is from RNAcentral.